Long non-coding RNA from Xiphophorus hellerii (green swordtail), 396 nucleotides. RefSeq lists it as uncharacterized. The record is from RefSeq and is a predicted model, not a curated record. NCBI's taxonomy places the organism in Eukaryota, Metazoa, Chordata, Actinopteri, Cyprinodontiformes, Poeciliidae. The transcript is spliced from 3 exons.
UCCCCCCAGCUGGGUAUUUAUUUGCUUUGCACAGAUCGGAGGGGAACCCGAGUCUGUGCCCGACCUUACGUGAGAGCAGACCCGGGAGGAAAUGUCUCCAUCGUCUUCACCCCGGGCGCAGAGGGAGGCGAGAUGAUCUACGAGCAAAUGUCGGAGGUCGGCGUGAUUGGACUGAAGAGGGGUUCGAUUAUAGCAGAUGCCGAGGUUUCGGCAACGUCACUCAAAGAGACACUCGUACAUGUGAGAAAAUGAAGGAGAGUUCAACAUCAACCAACGAAGUUGCCUGAAACAACCUUCUGACCUGAGCCUCAGUGAGCUGCAGAGCGGAGGCCAGGAGGAACCUCUCGGAUCCCACCAUGUACUGCUGCCGGGCGAACUCCUUCUCCAGCCGGGACA